This 386-nucleotide long non-coding RNA is filed under the name Gossypium barbadense (sea-island cotton). RNAcentral's name for it is "long non-coding RNA (GBAR_LNC001108)". The record is from RNAcentral. Lineage: Eukaryota; Viridiplantae; Streptophyta; Magnoliopsida; Malvales; Malvaceae.
GGCAGGAAAUUUGUUAGGAUUGUUGUAGUUAUAAUGAUGGUGGUAAUGGUGGUUUUCAGUGGAAUUUUGACUACAAACCCGAUGAUGAUGGCACUAGCAAGGCGGUUGAAUGAAGAGGUGGUGGCCGUAGGUGGUGUUGUGCCGGAUGACCAUUCGCCUAUUCCUCCGAUCAGGUCAUCUUGCAAAACCCAUAUUCCGAGUCCCACAUGCCCUCCCUAUUCUUCAAAGCAUAGGUGAGUCCUCUAUCUAUAUAAAAAUGUAUAAAUAACUAUUAAUAUGAUAUAAUUUCGAUUUAAUUUUUAUAUAUCACUAACAUUAUAGUACCAUUAUAUAUAAUUUAUUUGUUUCUUGGUUGGACGCAGGUAAAAUGGCAAAUUGGGAUGGCA